RNAcentral lists this ribosomal RNA (467 nucleotides) under uncultured Sphingobacteriales bacterium. RNAcentral describes it as "bacterial SSU rRNA". It matches the Rfam family "Bacterial small subunit ribosomal RNA", at positions 917 to 1381 of the family's 1533-position model. The record is from RNAcentral. Lineage: Bacteria; Pseudomonadati; Bacteroidota; Sphingobacteriia; Sphingobacteriales.
ACGGGGCCGCACAAGCGGUGGAGCAUGUGGUUUAAUUCGAUGAUACGCGAGGAACCUUACCUGGGCUCGAACGUAAGAUGACUGUAGGUGAAAGCUUACAUCUCUUCGGAGCAUUUUACGAGGUGCUGCAUGGUUGUCGUCAGCUCGUGCCGUGAGGUGUCGGGUUAAGUCCCAUAACGAGCGCAACCCCUACCUUUAGUUGCCAUCAGGUUAAGCUGGGGACUCUAAAGGAACUGCCUACGCAAGUAGUGAGGAAGGCGGGGAUGACGUCAAAUCAGCACGGCCCUUACGUCCAGGGCUACACACGUGCUACAAUGGCCGAUACAGAGGGCAGCUACCUGGUGACAGGAUGCAAAUCUCCAAAGUCGGUCUCAGUUCGGAUCGGAGUCUGCAACCCGACUCCGUGAAGUUGGAUUCGCUAGUAAUCGCGCAUCAGCCAUGGCGCGGUGAAUACGUUCCCGGGCCUU